RNAcentral lists this transfer RNA (72 nucleotides) under Ictidomys tridecemlineatus (thirteen-lined ground squirrel). Its description in RNAcentral is "Spermophilus tridecemlineatus (thirteen-lined ground squirrel) tRNA". It matches the Rfam family "tRNA". Rfam says of the family: Transfer RNA (tRNA) molecules are approximately 80 nucleotides in length. Lineage: Eukaryota; Metazoa; Chordata; Mammalia; Rodentia; Sciuridae. The record is from Rfam by way of RNAcentral.
UGGUUUGAAGCUCAGUGGUAGAGCGCUAGCCUAGUAUGUAUGAGGCCCUGGGUUUGAUUCUCAGCACUGCAG